Molecule: ribosomal RNA, 275 nt
Filed under: uncultured Ascomycota
Lineage: Eukaryota; Fungi; Ascomycota
Description: partial 18S ribosomal RNA
Rfam family: Eukaryotic small subunit ribosomal RNA
Source: RNAcentral
UUGGAGGGCAAGUCUGGUGUCGGCAGCCGCGGUAAUUCCUGCUCCAAUAGCGUAUAUUAAAGUUGUUGAGGUUAAAAAGCUCGUGGUUGAACCUUGGGCCUAGCCGGCCGGUCCGCCUCACCGCGUGCACUGGCUCGGCUGGGUCUUUCCUUCUGGAGAACCGCAUGCCCUUCACUGGGUGUGCCGGGGAACCAGGACUUUUACUCUGAACAAAUUAGAUCGCUUAAAGAAGGCCUAUGCUCGAAUACAUUAGCAUGGAAUAAUAGAAUAGGACG